GAGGCACAUGGCAGUGACUGGGGAACUAUUACCCUGGGAAACUAUUGAUUGGAAAAAGCCACUGAAGGUGGAUAGCAGGCCGGAGCCAUGAGGAAAGAGGAAGCAGGGAAGGCGGAGCCGUCCAUAAGGCCGCUGCCCUGAACACGUGAAGCCGCUUUGGAAGGGAAGAGCCCAGGUGAAGCCUGCUCCAGGCCAGAGCCAGCAAGCCCAGCAGGGACUUCAGAGCAGUGCUCCCCAAAGGAGACCCACAGAGCAUCAGUGCAGAGAGACGCUCUGUGAGGAGAAGGGGGUCUGUGGUCAGAUUUAGGGGUGCUGUAUCUACUCCUGGGUUGAAGACUCUCAAAGAAUAUUAGCAUAAUGUGGCCUCCCAGACGUCCUGCAGCAAAGAAACCCAUUUAACAUUGACUCAUCCAGUGGUUCCUAAACUCAUUCGGUCACGGACCCCCUUUUUACCAUCUAACAGCCCACGGAGACCUAGAGAGCGCUUUAGGGGAGACAGGUGCUUUAGAGGAAUGAAAUAUCGGGAUGAUUUCAAAGAGGCACUUCUCAAGCCUAUAGAUGGAAACUGAGGCAGAGACGGUACUGACAGAGUUAUGCUCUUGACAGAAAACUUUCAGCUGGAAAGGCGGUGCAGGGUCUCUGAGUGACGAGUAUCUUCAGCAGGAGGGAGACCCAAGCUAUGAGGGCCUGUCCAAACUCUCGUCCACCCGGCACCUUACAGGCUUCCAAACCCACAGGCCCAAAGUGAGGACAAACAUUGCAGGAAGUGGGCAAUAGUCAUGAUCUCACCGCUCCCCGAGUUCGAGCCCCACGUC
This is a long non-coding RNA of Suricata suricatta (meerkat), 815 nucleotides long. RefSeq lists it as uncharacterized. The transcript has 3 exons. Lineage: Eukaryota; Metazoa; Chordata; Mammalia; Carnivora; Herpestidae. The record is from RefSeq and is a predicted model, not a curated record.